CAUAGAUAAAAAUCUCUGUACUCAUGAAGCAAAUGGAAAAUGUGAAAGUGUAAACAUAGUACCUAAAUUAGGGUAAGACAGAAACGGCUGGAGUUGCAGAGGGCAGAUUGCAAUAUUUUGGGUAUAGGCCUGGUUGAGAAAGUGACAUUGAAUUGAAGUCAUGAAAUAAGUUGAAGGAUUGCGUCAUGAAGAUAUUUAGAGUAAAUUCAUCAUAUUCAGUAUUUACCAAGGUGGGAAUUUGCCUGGCAAGAGGCCAGUAUGGCAGGAAAUGAGUGACAGACCAGGAGAGUAGUUGAAGAUGGAGUCAAAGAGGUAACAGCGAGGAGUAGGUUCUUUAUUUAUUUUUGCUGUGUGUGUCUGUUGCCAGGUAUCACACCCAGGAAUUUGUGCAUGCUUACCAAUGCUUAACACUGAACUAUAUCCCCAGGCUCAGAGACAGGAUAUUUAGAGCCUGUAGCUCUAAAAUCUUUUUAAAACUUUGGAUUAUACUCUGAGUAAUAUGAGAAACUACUGGAAGGUAUUGAGCCAAAGUGAACAGUAGCAAAACCUGGCUUAAGUUGUAGCAGGAUCAGUUUGGCAGUUGCUGUGUUUAAAAUACAUUGUGAUAGAGAAGUGUAUAGCAAAAGAAAAGACUAGACAUUUAGGAAAUUAUUAAAGUAAUCCAGGUAAGACAGUGGUGGCCUGAGUGGAGGAGUAGAAGUGGUGAGAAAUAGUCAGCUUUUGAUAUAUUUUAAAGGUAGAAUCAACACCAUCUUCUGAAAGAUUUCAUGAGACGUGAGAAAAAGAGAGAGCCAGAAUAGUCCAAUGUAUUUGCUUAUUUGAGUUGAGCAACUAGAACAAUGGAGUUGCCAUUCAAUGAGGUAAGGAAGACUAUGAGCAAGUGGGCUUUGGCUAUUGGGAAGAUCAGUUGUUUUGGUUUGGACAUAUUGAGUUUGGGGUGCUGUUAGGUGUCCAUGUAGAUAUUUUAUGGGGGCAGUGGGCUUGGCAUUUAGGAAGGAAAUCUGGAUGGAGUUACAUAUUUGUGAGUCACUGGCAGGAGAUGGGAUGUAGUCAAGAGAGGAAAGAGAAGGUCAAAAACUGAUCCCUUGGACCUGCCAAUAUUACAGUGUCCAGGAGAAGAGAGAGAACCAAAAAAGGACACUGAGAUGUAAGCCAGGAAAGAGUUUUGGAAGGCAGGUAAAGAGGAAGUGGUCCACAGUAUUAGCAGAGCUGGUGACCCCUGAAUAAAUGCUACAUAUAAGUUAAAUAAAAGAGAGUCAUAAGUAACUGUUGGUUCUAAAUGGAGGACCUUGGUGGUCAUUUUUAUUAAAAAGUAAAAGCAAAUGCUUAAUUGGAGCAGAUUUGGGUGAAUAGGAGAAGAGAGAAGACAAUGUGUAUAGACAACUGUUUUUGAGUUUUUCUGUGUGAAGGACAACAGAGAAUCAAAGCCAAUUAUGUUAUUUCCUUUUUAAAUUUUAAUUAGUUUUUUCUUGAUUUAAAAUGGGAGAAGUAGGGUAUGUUUGAUACUGAUGAGAAUAAUCCAGUAAGUGAUAAACCUUGGUGAUACAGAAGAGAGGGGAAUUGCUGAAUAAUAUCCUGGAGUUGAAGAUGGUUGGGUUUUAGUUUCAAAGAGGAGGAAUAAGCACAGAUGAUUCGUGUACCAUAGAAACCGGUGGGAUACUGAGUAAUAUGAUGCUGAUGUUGGAAGAUGAAUAGACAGCAUGAUGAAAGAUCUGUGGAAUUC
RNAcentral lists this long non-coding RNA (1723 nucleotides) under Marmota monax (woodchuck). Lineage: Eukaryota; Metazoa; Chordata; Mammalia; Rodentia; Sciuridae. The record is from RNAcentral.